CUUAAGCAUAUCAAUAAGCGGAGGAAAAGAAACCAACAGGGAUUGCCCUAGUAACGGCGAGUGAAGCGGCAACAGCUCAAAUUUGAAAUCUGGCGCAAGCCCGAGUUGUAAUUUGUAGAGGAUGCUUCUAGGUAGCGACCGGUCUAAGUUCCUUGGAACAGGACGUCAUAGAGGGUGAGAAUCCCGUAUGUGACCGGCCCGCACCUUCUACGUAGCUCCUUCGACGAGUCGAGUUGUUUGGGAAUGCAGCUCUAAAUGGGAGGUAAAUUUCUUCUAAAGCUAAAUACCGGCCAGAGACCGAUAGCGCACAAGUAGAGUGAUCGAAAGAUGAAAAGCACUUUGGAAAGAGAGUUAAAAAGCACGUGAAAUUGUUGAAAGGGAAGCGCUUACAACCAGACUUCUGGGCGGUGUUCCGCCGGUCUUUUGACCGGUCUACUCGCCGUCCCGAGGCCAACAUCAUCUGGGACCGCCGGAUAAGACCUCAGGAAUGUAGCUCCCCUCGGGGAGUGUUAUAGCCUGUGGUGAUGCGGCGCGUCUCGGGUGAGGUCCGCGCUUCGGCAAGGAUGUUGGCGUAAUGGUUGUCAGCGGCCCGUCUUGAAACACGGACCAAGGAGUCUAACAUCUAUGCGAGUGUUCGGGUGUCAAACCCCUACGCGUAAUGAAAGUGAACGGAGGUGGGAAGGGUAACCUGCACCAUCGACCGAUCCUGAUGUCCUCGGAUGGAUUUGAGUAAGAGCAUAGCUGUUGGGACCCGAAAGAUGGUGAACUAUGCCUGAAUAGGGUGAAGCCAGAGGAAACUCUGGUGGAGGCUCGCAGCGGUUCUGACGUGCAAAUCGAUCGUCAAAUUUGGGUAUAGGGGCGAAAGACUAAUCGAACCAU
RNAcentral lists this ribosomal RNA (879 nucleotides) under Ramularia alangiicola. Its description in RNAcentral is "eukaryotic LSU rRNA". It matches the Rfam family "Eukaryotic large subunit ribosomal RNA", at positions 33 to 943 of the family's 3401-position model. The record is from RNAcentral. Lineage: Eukaryota; Fungi; Ascomycota; Dothideomycetes; Mycosphaerellales; Mycosphaerellaceae.